This 382-nucleotide ribosomal RNA is filed under the name uncultured archaeon. Its description in RNAcentral is "bacterial SSU rRNA". It matches the Rfam family "Archaeal small subunit ribosomal RNA", at positions 345 to 727 of the family's 1478-position model. The record is from RNAcentral.
AAACUUUACACUGCGGGAAACCGCGAUAAGGGGACCCCGAGUGCCAGCACCUAGUGCUGGCUGUCCUACUGUCUAAAUAACAGUGGUUAGCAAGGGCCGGGCAAGACCGGUGCCAGCCGCCGCGGUAACACCGGCGGCCCGAGUGGUAACCGUUUUUAUUGGGUUUAAAGGGUCCGUAGCCGGCUUACUAAGUCUCUUGGGAAAUCUGACGGCUCAAUCGUCAGGCGGCCAAGAGAUACUGGUAGGCUUGGGACCGGGAGAGGUGGGAGGUACUCCAGGGGUAGGGGUGAAAUCUCGUAAUCCUUGGGGGACCACCGAUGGCGAAGGCAUCCCACCAGAACGGGUUCGACGGUGAGGGACGAAAGCUGGGGGCACGAACCGG